UACGGGGGGGGCAAGCGUUGUUCGGAAUUACUGGGCGUAAAGGGCUCGUAGGCGGCCAACUAAGUCAGACGUGAAAUCCCUCGGCUUAACCGGGGAACUGCGUCUGAUACUGGAUGGCUUGAGUUUGGGAGAGGGAUGCGGAAUUCCAGGUGUAGCGGUGAAAUGCGUAGAUAUCUGGAGGAACACCGGUGGCGAAGGCGGAUCUCUGGGCCUUACCUGACGCUGAGGCGCGAAAGCUAGGGGAGCAAACAGG
This 253-nucleotide ribosomal RNA is filed under the name uncultured bacterium. Its description in RNAcentral is "partial 16S ribosomal RNA". It matches the Rfam family "Bacterial small subunit ribosomal RNA", at positions 524 to 776 of the family's 1533-position model. The record is from RNAcentral.